This is a non-coding RNA of Oryctolagus cuniculus (rabbit), 3310 nucleotides long. The record is from RefSeq and is a predicted model, not a curated record. Lineage: Eukaryota; Metazoa; Chordata; Mammalia; Lagomorpha; Leporidae.
CCCGCCCGCCGGUCGCGGGUCCGGGCUUCGCUGAGGCGCCGCGAGGCUGUGAGGCCUGGGGCUGGACACGGGUUCCACGCAUGCGGGCGAUGCCUGUCUCCCGGCCUUGAGUUAGAGAGAGGACGCCGUACCGCAGCGCGCCGUUUCGUUUCUUCAUUUUUCUCGCCAUUUCCCUAACAAGAAAGAGAACGGCGUCGGCAGCUGGAGGGGUUGCGGUGCCAAGGAUGUGUCGGCCUUUAUGAGGGCCUAGAGGAGGGGCGCGCGAUCGCUUCAGGAGACCUCCACGGGGUCGUCGAGGCUUUGGAGCAGGGUUCCAGGUCCUGAGACUCUAGAGACGACCCCAAAAUUAUUUCCCCGGCUUGAAAAUCCAGCUAGCGAAUGGACCCCCCUCAACCCCAGCGUGCCCAAGUGGAGCUCCUGGUCAAAUGCACUGAAAGAAAACGAAACCGUUCUCUCCCAAGCGAUGGCUACCUCCAUUCUUCGUGGCCAAAAACCUUGGAGUCAUCCCUGCCUCUUUCGCAUCAUCCUAUCGGCUGUGACUUCACCUUUGAUCCCGAACCUGCCCACUCUGGUCCCCUUCACUUGCCACCCCUCUGGUGUGCACCACCUGUGGGAUUGCACUGGCCUCCGGGUUGAUUGCCACCCUGCACCCACACAGUGCAGCCUGAACCCAGCAGCAGAUCACUCCCUCCAAGCCAUCAAUCAAACUAGCUCUCUGCUCAGUGCUUUCCAAGGAUCCUCAGUUCGGAUCGGCUGGGAACUCUCCGUGAUCUGCCCCUAACCAUUUUCUACUGUUCCCACGCUGCUCGUUCGGCUUCAGCUAAACUGGCCUCCCUUGCUGUUCUUUGGGAAAGCUGUUCACACUCAUGCCCCCGGGCCUUGGCGCUUGAGCUUUCCCCAAAUAUACAAGCUGCCUUCUUUUUCCACCAGUCUUGGCUCGAGCAUUGCCUUCUCAAUGCGACUUACCUGACCACUCGAUUUCAAAUUGUAAACCCCUUCCAACAUUCCUAAUGCCCCCUUAUCUUGUUUUCUUUCCCUAGCAUUGAUCUAUCACUUUUUAACAUAAUAUUUACUUAAGUAUAUUGUACUCUGCCUCCCCCAAACACACACACACACACACACAAAUAUAACCAUCAGUCCAGAGAUUGUUCCUGAUUUGUUUAAUGAUGAACCAUAUCUAACAUGUACUAAGUUCUCUUUAUAAAUUUUAUUCAGGAGUGAAUGUCCCCGGAAUGUACACUCCUUAAGAGCAUGGACAGGAGCUCUCUUGUUCAUUGUUGCUUAGAGCAACAACUGGAACUAAAUGAAAAGUGACUACAUUUUCAAAUGGUGACCUGCAAUUCUUUCUGCUUUGACCUUGGUGAAGGCCUAAUACAGCUGUAUCAAGUAGAUUCUGCUGCCUGCAAGAACUUGAAGUUCUAGUUAGUAUUCAAUAAUCAUUUAACCAAGUCAAAUUAGACCCUGGAGGAAAAGCAUCAGAGAACAAAAGAUGUGGUACAACAGAUGUCUGUUCCAUUUCCCCAAAUUUGUGGAGCCAAAAAAAGAGAAACUGUAAAAUGACUGUUUUCCAGCCCUCAUCUGAAAGAUGGUGGGAAAAACCAAGUUGUGAAGAAGAAAACGUAAGAUAGCAGAAAGGGAUGGCUAUGCGGACAAAGGGGACAGGCAUUUCAUAAUCACAUUGCCUGGGAGAAAACGACUUGGCUCAGAGUUCAUGGCAUCUGGCUUUAGGGGAGAGAAAUACUUCAUGUUUCUUCAACCGGAUUUGAAUUUCUGUUUGAUGGAUGACAAAGCACCCUUCCCUCUGCUGGAGUUCUUUGCAGAGGGCCUUGGGGAGAAGGGAAACAGUGGGGUUUAUGUCAGCCCUUCCCUGACUGCGUCCUCACAUGUUUAAAGAGGAAAAUAAUCACACUGACUGACAUUUCCUGAGCGCUGUGUUUCUAGCCCAAAACAGCCCAGUGAGUGGAAGACUAUUAUCCUCAUUUACUGAUUGCAGAGACUGAGGUUUGCAGAGGUUAAUUCCUUUGCCCAAAACCCUCACUCUAGCCUCAAGUCCUUUGCCCACAACCCUCACUCUAACCUCACACUCAACCUUUUCACCAGCAAAAGGAAGGAGACAGCUGGUUUCAGCAUUAAGACUCAGACUGGAUGAAUCUGAAAGAAAUUUGGAAACACCAUGAACAAAGGGAAAACACCUUGAGAGCAUGAAGACAGAGACUGGGAUGUUACCUCUUUGGGUCAAUGAACACUGACGAGUCCCAACAAACCACCAGGAGCUAGGAGAGAGGUAUGGAAGGGAUUCUUCAACACAGCAUCAGAAGAAACCAACUCCAUGGAUACCUUGAUCUCAGACUUCCUGCCUCCAGAAUGAUGAGACAAUCCAUUUUUGCUUUUUAAAGUACCCAGUGGUGGCACUUUGUAAUUUAAGCCCAGGAAACCAGUACAAAAGAGACGUGGAGACAGAGAGUCGGUCUUCCAUCCGCUGGUUCACUCCCCAGAUGGCUGCAACAGCUGGAGCUGCACCGAUCGCUGCGCUGAUCUGAAACCAGGAGCCAGGAGCUUCUUCCGGGUCUCCCACAUGGCUGCAGGGGCCCAAGGACUUGGGCCAUCCUCCACUGCUAUCCCAGGCCAUAGCAGAGAGCUGUAUUGGAAGAGGAGCAGCCAGGACCAGAACCAGUGCCCAUAUGGAAUGCCGGCGCUUCAGACCAGGGCUUUAACCCGCUGCUCCACAGCGCCAGCCCCAAUGAUGAAAUAUACUUUAUAUAUUGCACAAUUCACCUACUUAAAGUGUAUAAUCCAAUGGAUUUUAGUAUAUUCAGAGUUGUGCAAUAGUCAUUACAAUUUUAGGAGAUUUUCAUAAUCCCAAAGGAAACUUCAUGUCCCUUAGCAUCACUCCUCAUUUCUCCCAUCCCCCCAAGCCCUAGGCAACCACUAAUCUGAUUCCUGUCUUUAUAGAGUUGCCUCUUCUUACCAUUUCAUCCAAAUUAAGUCAUUCAAUGUGUCAUCUUCCGUAACUGGCUUCUUUUACUUAGCAUAAUGUUCUCAAGAUUCAUUCAUGAUGUCGUAUGUAUCAGAACUUCAUUCUUUUCAUUGAAGAAUAAUAUUCAUUGUGUGAAUGUACCACAUUGUAUUUAUCCAUUCUAAUGGAUUUUGGGUUGCUUCCACUUCUUGGCUAUGAUAAAUAAUGCUGCUAUGAACAUUUGUGUAAUGGUUUGUUUGUUUGUUUAUAGAUGUAUAUCUCCACUUCUCUUGAAUAUAUACUUAGGAGUAGAGUUGCUGGGUCAUGUGGUAACUCUAUGUUUAAUAUCUUGAA